This is a long non-coding RNA of Patella vulgata (common limpet), 722 nucleotides long. RefSeq lists it as uncharacterized. The record is from RefSeq and is a predicted model, not a curated record. The transcript has 5 exons. NCBI's taxonomy places the organism in Eukaryota, Metazoa, Mollusca, Gastropoda, Patellidae.
UUUAUAGCUUUUAAUAACUAGUAAACCAAUCGGCGUGUACGCACUUAUCGGAGAUCCACAAGUUCUUGACACAUACGAUCAUCAUGGAAGCAACAAUGAAAUAUUUGUUUGAACCGACAAACAGUGAUGAAUUAAGCUGUAAAAAGGGCGAUCUAGUAAAGAUAUUAGAUACCGAUGAUCCUGACUGGUAUAAAGCAGAAAAGGGCGGACAUGAAGGCUUAGUUCCGGCAUCAUAUUUAACUAUGGCCCCACAUCCGUGGUUCGUGGGGAAGAAAGGCCGAGGUGAUGCCGAAAAAAUAUUAAAUGAAAAAGAUAGUUCUGGAAGAUUGAAACAUACUGAUGGUACUUUCUUGGUGAGAAAAAGUGAAAAUGAUCCAACAAGCUUCUCUCUGUCAGUCAAAAAUGGAAGCUGUGUACAGCAUUUUAGAAUAUUAAACGAUUCUUCGGGGUCAUAUUAUCUGUGGUCAAAACAUUUUCGUUCCAUAAACCAACUAAUUGAAAAUCACAAGCACGAAACAAUAACCAGAUCACCCAGCACUGAGUUGUUUCUAAGAGAAAUGGGAUCCAAAAGCUCUCAAGUUAUGGCAAAAGCACUGUAUAAUUUUCAGUCAACUCAGCCCGAAGAACUGUCAUUUAAAGCGCAUGACAUGUUGGUUAUAACAGACCAGUCUGAUCCUGAUUGGCUUGGAGCAGAAGAUUCCAAAGGCAGAACUGGAGUAGUG